Molecule: ribosomal RNA, 486 nt
Filed under: uncultured bacterium
Lineage: Bacteria
Description: partial 16S ribosomal RNA
Rfam family: Bacterial small subunit ribosomal RNA
Source: RNAcentral
AUUGAACGCUGGCGGCAUGCCUUACACAUGCAAGUCGAACGGCAGCACGGGUGCUUGCACCUGGUGGCGAGUGGCGAACGGGUGAGUAAUACAUCGGAACAUGUCCUGUAGUGGGGGAUAGCCCGGCGAAAGCCGGAUUAAUACCGCAUACGAUCUACGGAUGAAAGCGGGGGACCUUCGGGCCUCGCGCUAUAGGGUUGGCCGAUGGCUGAUUAGCUAGUUGGUGGGGUAAAGGCCUACCAAGGCGACGAUCAGUAGCUGGUCUGAGAGGAGGACCAGCCACACUGGGACUGAGACACGGCCCAGACUCCUACGGGAGGCAGCAGUGGGGAAUUUUGGACAAUGGGCGAAAGCCUGAUCCAGCAAUGCCGCGUGUGUGAAGAAGGCCUUCGGGUUGUAAAGCACUUUUGUCCGGAAAGAAAUCCUUGGCCCUAAUACGGUCGGGGGAUGACGGUACCGGAAGAAUAAGCACCGGCUAACUACGUG